This is an RNA transcript of Mangifera indica (mango), 1818 nucleotides long. RefSeq lists it as uncharacterized. Lineage: Eukaryota; Viridiplantae; Streptophyta; Magnoliopsida; Sapindales; Anacardiaceae. The transcript is spliced from 3 exons. The record is from RefSeq and is a predicted model, not a curated record.
AGAUAGAAAUGGGUUAACCUUUUGAAGCUUCUCUUUGAUGUGGUCUCAAACCGUGCCCUCUGGAAUUCUCCAAAUUCAAGAGGCCUCCAAUACUACAUUUUUAAUGUUCUGCUGUCUCAUUGUGGCAAUAUACACACUUUUAAGCUUUGCAACACCUUCCCAGAAAAGUUCUCCGAUCUUCACGCCUGGAUACAUUAUCUUGCAAGAAACAGUAUCAGGGAAUUCACUCUUGAGUAUGUUAGCACAGCAAUUGAUUUUGCAAACGUGUAUAAGUUACCAGCUUGCAUAUGGUCUUUUGAACAUCUGACCCAUUUGCAGCUCUGUUGAUAUAAAUUACCACAACCUCCUUGUGCUUCUAAAGGUUUCAGAAAUCUUGUCGGUCUCCAACUUUCUGGGAAGCUUAGUGAUAUUCAGUUGCUUGAAAACUUGAUCUGCAACUGCCCUGUUCUACAGAUUGAUGCUCAAUAGUCUUCAAAAUUUAGCUUGUUUUGGUAUUCAGGCCGCAAAGCUAAAACAGGUAGGUCUCCAAGGAAAAUUGAGAGCUAUCAUUCUUAAAAAUUGUACGGUCCUAGCAGAGAUAACCUUAAUCAUCACUUCAGAUGGGUCUACCAGCGUUGAAUAUCAAGAUCAAGGAAGGAUUUACCAUUUGCUACAUUAUCUCAGUCAGCUAUCCAGUCUGAAAAGAGUUAAAGUUUCUGGUUUUUUCCUUAAGAUUCUUUAUGCAUUUGAUCUUAGAAUUGGCUGAUGCGGAAUGUUUCAGACAUUGCCUAUAUUGCAUCCAACCAUUUGAAGAUUCUUUAUCUUGUUGAAAUGAGUUUCAACGAUCAUGAUCAGACAAAGGCCACUGUCAAACUUCUUAAACUCUUCUCAAACUUACGAUUCGAAGCGGAGAAUAUUCAAGACAAUCAUUCGAAUUUCUGCAAGCACAAAAUCAAUCAAGCUACUGUUUUGGCCAACUUCAAAAUGUGAAGAUUCAUCUAAGAGAUUGUGUUACAAUUUUCAGCAACCAGCAUCCUGAAUUGGAAUUUAUCAAGUUCCUACUUAAUCAUUCUCCAGUACUCGACAAAAUGGUGAUUUUAAAUGAUGAGCAUAGAGAUAAAUUUAACUGACAGUUUAUGGAAGAAAUGCUGUUUUUUAAAAGGAUUUCACCAGAAGCAAAAAUUACAUAUUGUCCAGUGUCCUCACUGCCAUGCUACAAUACAAUCAAUCGAUGAUGAGUCUAUGCUCUUCAUUUUGUAAGUUGGGGUUGCAAGAUCUUGAGGCUUUUGGUUUUGUGUGUCAGGUUCUGAAGACCAGUGAGUAUUGCUCAGGAAGAAGUCCUUUUAAUGUUUUAAUGGCCGCUUGAUGACCAUAGAUGGUUUAAUUUGCAUUGGCUUGUGCAUUUGUUCGGACUAAUUUAUGUAUCUCCUGCAGGAAAAAAGAACUUGGGGGAGAAGGACACUUGGCAGCAGCAAGCUUGGACAGAUGGCAAUUCAGCAGAGGCCAGGACCACCAGAAAUGAUAAAUAAUUGUGGCACAACAGACAGCAGCUGCACUGCAAGGUGGUUAAGGAGGAUAAAAAGGAGAGGACAACAGCAGAAAAGGAUAUUCAGAAUUCAGCGAAAGGUGAGGGAAUUUGAGGGAGAGAGCAGGCCUCUCGAAUGCCUUGCAUAGUGGCUAUUUUCAUAGUCUAUGUAAUAAGAAUUUGUGGUUAUCUUCUUUGUUUAUGUAAUAGGAGUUGUGAGACAUUUUCCAAUUUCCAGAGACAGAAUCCACUUUGUAUUGAAAUCAAUAUUGUUUGCUUUCAUGUAGAUUCAAUCCAAAGUUACAAUUCCAGAA